Long non-coding RNA from Homo sapiens (human), 854 nucleotides. NCBI's taxonomy places the organism in Eukaryota, Metazoa, Chordata, Mammalia, Primates, Hominidae. The record is from Ensembl.
GGCAGCCUGCUGUGCGGAGCUGGGGGAGGAGGAGGGAGCCCUGGGGGACAGACAGAAGGACCAUCGAAGGAGAAACCCUGCUGGCCUCGGGACCUGGAGGAAAGAACCAGGGCCCGUGCUCCUUGGGCCAGGAUCCGGCGAUUGGACGGAACCUCUCGGAUUCCCCAGUGCUGUGAAAUCCACUUGGGGCCAUCACACCCUUCAUUGCUGUGCUCCCUGGCAGAACUCGAAUGCAGCAACUACUGCCCUGGCCCCUCAGCUUGUGGGAGGCGACGGUGAAGGUCAGGAGCAACGUCCUCUGUAACCAGACCUGUCGCCGCCGCUUUCCUUCCAACCACACUGAGCGGUUUGAGCGGCUCAUCAAGGACGACAUGCUGUGUGCCGGGGACGGGAACCACGGCUCCUGGCCAGGCGACAACGGGGGCCCCCUCCUGUGCAGGCGGAAUUGCACCUGGGUCCAGGUGGAGGUGGUGAGCUGGGGCAAACUCUGCGGCCUUCGCGGCUAUCCCGGCAUGUACACCCGCGUGACGAGCUACGUGUCCUGGAUCCGCCAGUACGUCCCGCCGUUCCCCAGACGCUAGCUGGGGUGCAGUGGGGUCUGCAUGAUCCAGGAGGGCCCGUCUUCCUUGUGGACACCCCUGCUGCUCCCCCGUCUCAGCCUCACCCUCCCGCAGAUCCCUGCCCCGAGACCCUUCUGCUCCUCUCGGUCUCUCAAGGCUCUGUGUUUCCCUGCCAGCAGGGGGCUCGGGGAGCCGGGUAGGGGCCCUCAAAGAUGAGUCGGGAGUGGAAACAGAAUCCCAGAAAUCCUAGACGGCUGCUUGUGACUUGACUCCAUUAAACAGUGUGGAAACCGC